Molecule: ribosomal RNA, 380 nt
Filed under: Sheathia longipedicellata
Lineage: Eukaryota; Rhodophyta; Florideophyceae; Batrachospermales; Batrachospermaceae
Description: partial 23S ribosomal RNA
Rfam family: Bacterial large subunit ribosomal RNA
Source: RNAcentral
CUAAAUUGGGAUGACUUCGGGCUUAUUUGCGCAGUCUGGUGGGAGGCUAUGAUGAUCAAUUUGCGGAUUGUUCUAAGCCAUCAGUGAGAUACCCUCUGGUAAAACUAAAAUUCUAACCUUGCUCCUUGUUAUCCGGUCAAGGAACAGUUUCAGGUGGGCAGUUUGACUGGGGCGGGACCCUCCUAAAAAGUAACGGAGUGUUGCAAGGGUUCCCUCAGGCUGGUCGAAAAUAGCUCGUAGAGUAUAAGGGCAUAGGGGAGCUUGACUGCAAAACCUACAAGUCAAGCAGAGGCGAAAGUCGGCCUUAGUGAUCCCGACAGUUCCGAGUGGAGGGGCUGUCGCUCAACGGAUAAAAAGUUACUCUAGGGAUAACAGGCUGA